This 457-nucleotide ribosomal RNA is filed under the name Stenotrophomonas sp. RNAcentral describes it as "bacterial SSU rRNA". It matches the Rfam family "Bacterial small subunit ribosomal RNA", at positions 29 to 491 of the family's 1533-position model. Lineage: Bacteria; Pseudomonadati; Pseudomonadota; Gammaproteobacteria; Lysobacterales; Lysobacteraceae. The record is from RNAcentral.
AGUGAACGCUGGCGGUAGGCCUAACACAUGCAAGUCGAACGGCAGCACNNUAAGAGCUUGCUCUUAUGGGUGGCGAGUGGCGGACGGGUGAGGAAUACAUCGGAAUCUACUUUUUCGUGGGGGAUAACGUAGGGAAACUUACGCUAAUACCGCAUACGACCUUCGGGUGAAAGCAGGGGACCUUCGGGCCUUGCGCGAUUGAAUGAGCCGAUGUCGGAUUAGCUAGUUGGCGGGGUAAAGGCCCACCAAGGCGACGAUCCGUAGCUGGUCUGAGAGGAUGAUCAGCCACACUGGAACUGAGACACGGUCCAGACUCCUACGGGAGGCAGCAGUGGGGAAUAUUGGACAAUGGGCGCAAGCCUGAUCCAGCCAUACCGCGUGGGUGAAGAAGGCCUUCGGGUUGUAAAGCCCUUUUGUUGGGAAAGAAAACUUGCAGGUUAAUACCCAGCAAGUCUGA